UACGGAGGGUGCAAGCGUUGUCCGGAAUUAUUGGGCGUAAAGGGCGCGUAGGCGGCUUGUGCAGUCGGGCGUGAAAUCCCUGGGCUCAACCUGGGGGCUGCGCUCGAGACGCAUGGGCUUGAGUGGGGGAGAGGGCCGUGGAAUUCCCAGUGUAGAGGUGAAAUUCGUAGAUAUUGGGAAGAACACCGGUGGCGAAGGCGGCGGCCUGGCCCUUGACUGACGCUGAGGCGCGAAAGCGUGGGGAGCAAACAGG
Molecule: ribosomal RNA, 253 nt
Filed under: uncultured bacterium
Lineage: Bacteria
Description: partial 16S ribosomal RNA
Rfam family: Bacterial small subunit ribosomal RNA
Source: RNAcentral